AUGGUGCUGUCUUGGGGACAGGGACCUGCUCUAUUCGUCUUUGUUUCCUUAUAGACACAGCACCGAGGAACGCUUAAUGUAAUCCUCCUUACCUUGGAUUGUGCCAACUUUGAUACGGGAAAAACUCUUUGCUUUGUGUGUGAUGGGGGUGCAGCAGUGACCGUGGAAGGCAGAUUGUACUUAAGAAAUACGUCUAGUGGCUAUGCUGGCUUUCUCCGGCUUGGAAGUAUUCUUAAGACAUUUUAUUAACAUAAAAAGCCCAACUCAAAGGCCACCUCUUUUAGUCUCCUUCAGGAAGUCACCUCAUGCCUCCUAGAUGCCCUUUCCAUUUUAGGUCGAGGUUCUUGGUGGGCGUGGCUAUUCUCUACGUGGUCCCUCUUUAAUCAGUAACUUCCCCUAACUCCUAACUUAGUAACUAUUUUAGUAACUUCCCCUAACUCCUGAGCCACCUCCUUAAACACUUCGCAGAAUUUGUUGAGUGAAUCGUUGUAUUUUUAAGGCCAAGUCCACCCCUAAUAAGUCUCGGACCAAGCUACGUGGGAAAAUAAAAUUUCAGGAAGACUUAAACCCAAAGUACUAUCCUAUGCAGUAGUCUUCUUUGUCAGGAGCACUUUAUUUUACUUAAUAAAUUUGUAUAUUUUAAUAGCCUUACCCUGAUUUUGAAAAGCCAUUAUAUUUUUCUGAUGAUUAGUGUCAAAAUUGAAUAAUCAAAUGCUGUUCUUGAGGUAAUUAAAUAGGGAUAAUUAAUAUAUCUAAGUUCGGUUUUCCAUGUUUGUAGGCCUAAGGCAAGAGAUUUCUGGAAAGCUUUUUAACUCACUGAAGAAAUCAAGCCCAAGAAUAAGUCACUGAAUGCCUUAGCUGGGUCCAAGCUUACCUCCAGUGUGCAGCACUGGGAGUCAGCAGUCCUUCCCCCAUUGCCAGGUUCAGGGCAGACAAACCUCUCCAACCAUGAAAUGCUCAGGUUCUCUUACACAGGAAUUAACCAUGUCCUUUGAUUAGCCUGAGGCUCUAGAGCCCCAUGAGAACUGAGUUUAUAUCUAUAAUUGGAGCUUAGACAUAUACAGACAUGUUUGAUGGAAGGCAGAUUUCCCAUGAAGCUAAUGAAGCUUACUUUAAGGCCCCUCUCUGGCACAAGUUUCUUCCAAGGCCUUGCAUCUAAUUGUGUAUUUGUAAGCAUUUGUAUUCUUGUUCUUCAAGCCUCCCACCCCCAAUAGCUGUGUCGUAAUUAGAGCCCACCAUACCUGAACCUCCCCUGAACCUCCAUUGGGAGCAGGAGGGGUGAUAAUGGAAGUUUGUUCCCAGGAAAGGACAAUGAAACUUCUGGGACAAUAAUAAUAAAAGAAGAAUUUACUGACCAGGUUGGUACAGCUGUGUUGGAGAGCAGCUGGAGUUGAACCCCCACCCCCACCCCGCCCCGAUCCCCCUGCCACAUCAUCCUCUCUUCCCGACAGCCAAGUACCUUGGGAUGGAGAGAACUAGGGGUUAAAACUGAAAGGACUAUCACCAAGGACCCUCUGAAAGCUCUGAUUAGCGAUAGACCUCUCUAAACUCCUUUUAGGAAUUAGAGAGCCCUGGGCAUUUGGCAGGUGGAGGCAGGCUAUUGAGCUGGCAGAAUCAGGGAAAACCAGCUAAACCAGUGGUUCUCAAAGUAUCAUCCCCAGACCAGCAGCAUCAGCAUCACCUGGGAACGUGUCAGGCAUGAGAAUUGGCUGACUCUCACCCAGACAGGAGGAAUCAGAAACUCUGGGUUGAUGUCCUGCACUUUGUGUUUUAACAAACCACUGGGUGAUUCUGCUCCACGCUCAAGUUUGAGACUGUUGCACUAAAUUGAUACGUGGGGGGAACUACAAAUUAUCAGGGCUCUUCCCUUCUACUCACUCUGUUCUCUACCCAGGUUAGUAAACUACUCUGGAAAGCAGAGUUAAAACGGACACAGAUGAAUUUGAACUUAAACCCCAGCCCUGCCCUUAAUAGCUGUCUGAUGCUAGGCAAAUUAUUCAACUAGGGAGUUCUCAUUGUGGUGCAGUGAAAACGAAUCUGACUAGUAUCUAUGAGGAUGUGGGUUCAAUCCCUGGCCUUACUCAGUGGGUUAAGGAUCCGGCGUUGCCGUGAGCUGUGAUGUAAGUUGCAGAUGUGGCUCAGGUCUGGCAUUGCUGUGGCUGUGGUGUAGGCCAGCAGCUGUAGCUCCAAUUGGACCCCUAGCCAGGGAACCUCCAUAUACCUCGGGUGCAGCCCUAAAAAGACAAAAAUAAACAAAUAAAUAAAACAUAAGCCAUCGAUCGAAUGGCCCUCCUACAAGGGCUCCCAUCUCAGGGUAGAAGCCAAAGCUCUUUUUCUGGCCCACAUGGCUCUAUGCCACCUGGCUCCUCAUGAUCUUUGACUUCCAUUUGGACUGUACUCCUCUGGGCUCAGUUUACUUCAGCUGAACUCGCUACAUUUUGUUCCUCAGACCCACGUGGGAUGCUUCUGCUCCAGGGCCUGUGCCUCAGUUCUUCCCUGUAUCUUCCCUGUGCGAUCUCUUCCCCCAGUUUCCUGCUUGGCUCACGUCUCACCAUCUUCCAGUCUUGGCUCAGUUAUCAUGUUCUCCAUGAAGCAUACGCUGACCACCAUUGUCCCAAUCCUCCCACCCCCAAGUCCCAGUCCUGCUACCUUGUGCUCAUUUUUCCCCCUUUAUCCAUAAAAUGCAUCAUUUUUUAUAAUACUGUAUAAUUCAUUUAUUCACUAUGUAUUAGUUUUUAUCUGUUUUUCAGCCCCAUCUGUUUUGUUGAUUUAUAUAUCCCAAGCUUCUAGAAUAUAGUAGGCUGUCAGUAACACUUAUAGAGUGGAUGGAUGGAUGGAUGGAUGGAUGAUACCAAAAUACAAAGAGAAGUAAGACACAGUCCUUUCCCUCAGGGGAACUUAAAGUAUAGUGGAUAAGAUAGACAUAUACAAAAUGUAAUUGGAACGAGUGAACUAAAGGAGAGAAGAGGAAGAAUAUUAAAUACAGGCAAUUCUUUAUUACCUUUAUUUAUCCAGCCUUUUCAAUUUCUUCAACUAAUUUUUCUUUGUUUUUAGUUCUCUUUCAUCUAGUUCAGGGCAUGGAUAAAGCCCACAGCAGUAAGUGAGUCAGAAGAAAUGUAGCAUAUUGACAACUGUCUUUGAUAUACAGGGUAAUCUACUUAUUUUGUCUGCUGUGUGCCUUAUAUCUUGGUAGGUUUCCCAUAGCAUGCAGAAGUUCCCAGGCCAGGGACUGAACCCAUGCCACAGCAGCAACCAAGCCACAGUAUUGACAACACCAGAUCCUUAACCCACAGAGCCACCAGGGAACUCCACCUUGGUGUUGUGUUUUUUCUUUUUCUUGGUGUUAUCCUUAAAAAGACAAAAAAAAAUUAACUCAUGAGGCCAUAGUCUGUUCAAUUACUAGGUAAAUUGCUGUAGCCUCGAGAAGGACCAAAAAACCUCAGGUUCACGAUGCAGGAUGAGUAUAGUAGCUUGGAAGGUGGUAGGCUCAGCCCACUACUUCUAUGGAUUUCAUCCUAUUUGUAGCUCCUUACUCAGAUAUUCCAAGAAAACUGGAUGCCUUUGCAGUUUCCAAAUUCACUGGAACUAAGGUCUUACUGAUGGCCAUACUGCUACCAUGUUUACACUUCUACUAAUAAAGCAUAUUGCAUUUAGAUGCUGAAAGUAACUAUGAUUUUGUUCAAUAUUUUCCUUCCAAGCUGACUGACACAUUUUACAAGCCUAUAUUAAUCUUUCUAGCAUCCUCAAGAAAUAUUUCCAUGCCAAACACCCUAGGCUGAAAUGAACCAAAAUUUCAGCCUGCUGCUUCAGAGUCUCAACUGAUUCCAGUACGUGCCUAACUCUUUCUCUCCUGGAAUAAUUAUUAAUAAUUGUGUGACUUUUUGAGAUACUUCAUGUGGUUUAGUGGUCUUUCUAUUAAAAGGAGGGAAAUAAUAUUCUUGAGGACAGAGGAUCCCUCCAGACUUUUCCCUGCUCUUCCACCUCCUCUCCCAUUAGCCUCUCCCACACUCACUAAGAUCUUUGAUGGGGAGUUUUAGGCCACCUCGAAUUUCUGCACUUUCCUAGACACCAUCAUUAUUAAAGAAACCUACUUCAGCCAUCACUGAUCUGUACUUAAGAUGUCACGGUCAGAUGUGAAUUAGCAGCCUUGGAAAGCCACUCAGCUGUGGUGGGGGGAUGAGACUGAAUAAAAUCUUCACAGACUUUGGUGUUCCUGCCUCUCCCUCUUCUGUAACUGUAACUGUAAAAAGUUCAGGAAUAUUUAGUAAGGGUGAGGGCCAGUAUAUUUAAAAUGCUCGUAUGGAAACCAGAAAUGUUGAAAAACAAAAUGAAAAUGUUAACAUAAAAGAUGAAUAUUAUCUCUGCCAGGUCUAGCAUGAGUUCCCUAAAUGAGGAGUCAAGAAUUGACUGUUAUAUGUGGAGACAGUAACUGUGCUCAAGAGUAAGUAUCACAGCUGUGACACACACACAUACACACAAACACACACACACACGCAAACACACAAACACCACACACACAAAUACCACAAACACACACACAUGCCUAAGCAGUGUUUUCCAUAAAGUGAAUCCUACCUUCUCUAAAGAUCAUCUCUUGAAUUUCCAAUAUUUUUUUCCAAUAUUUUAACCACGAGUUAAAUUUCAUAGUUUUAAUUCUGGUAUUUUAAAGCCAUGCAACAUGGCCAGCCAAAUGUCUCUAGGACCAUGAAUUAACAAGUCUUUGAAUUAUUCUUAAAAGAAAAAUGUCAUCAAGGAGUAGUCGUUGCAAGUUCUCAGGGGGCAUGUCUGCGUUUCAGAGGUCAUCCACAUUACGGUUAGCAUCUGUGCUCGAUCCUAAAGGUUUCAUGCUUUGAAUCCUUUGAUAGCACACAGGCCGGGGAAUAUUAAUAGCAGAGUCCUUGAUCUUCAUAAAAUAUGUGUUCUGUCACACAAUGUAAAAUAGGAUUGCAAGUCAAAGAAUGAUUCUUUUUGUUGGAGAAAAUGUUUUCUUUCUGACAAUGUGGUCUUACUUGUUGUGAAUAGCCUCACACCAAAAAAUCCACAGGAUUUUAGAAUAAGAAAUGCACCGUUUAGUUGAGACUGGCUUUGGAACUAUCCCCUCCACUUAUAGCUAUUGUUUGGCAAUUAUGCAGCCUCUCUACAAGUGUUUCUGGCUUCAUGUUUUUUGGGGGUUUGGGGAGUCUUUUUUUGUCUUUGUCUUUUUAGGGCCAUACAAGUGGCAGAUGGAGGUUCCCAGGCCAGGGGUCAAAUCGGAGCUACAGCUGCCGGCCUACACCACAGCUAUAGCAACUCAGGAUCCAAGCUACGUCUUCGACCUACAGCACAGCUCACGGCAACACCAGAUCCUUAACCCACUGAGUGAGGCCAGGGAUCAAACACCACCUGUCCUUGUGGAUACUAAUGGGGUUAAUUAACCACUGAACCACAAUGCGAACUCCGGUUU
This 5443-nucleotide long non-coding RNA is filed under the name Sus scrofa (pig). Its description in RNAcentral is "lncRNA (ENSSSCG00000063364.1)". Lineage: Eukaryota; Metazoa; Chordata; Mammalia; Artiodactyla; Suidae. The record is from RNAcentral.